AACAGUUUGCUGGCGUUACCCAGGAAACGCUUGCAACACAGGCAGUUUGAACUGAAAUUCAGUAGAAAAGAGGAAUGUCUGAACGAUAUACGAAUAAUUUACUAGAAAUGUAAUCUUAAGGAGAUGGAAAAUAACAGCGAACAAUAUACCACCCUGAUGUUAGCUGCAGGAACUGGAGGGCUGAUUAUGUUGACGGUGAUAUUACUAAUUUUCAUAUUCUGGGAGUUACUGCUAUCAAAAUCGUGGCUAAAUGAGACUACUAGUGAAUCAUCAUAUAAUUCGACACUGAGUACGAUAAAUGCACCUUCCAACACAGGAAUCAAGAAGGAUUCCAUCUCAGAUAGUACAUCACAAAUAUUUUACAUACCAUCACAAGAAUCACCAGCGCUACACCAGGUAUCAGUAGAAAUGCAUGUAAUCCACGCAGAAGAAACAGCAACAUCGCCUCCUGUGAUUACGCACAUUUAAUUGACAUCCAGCAAGAAUGUUACUCUCAGAGUAUAAUGACCACACUUUGGGACAGGCAGUAAGAUUGGUCCUAAAUCGUUCUCAAGAUCGAUCUACGGGGGACCCAUCCUAGGAUCGACAGCUCGUGGAGCCCAGGAAGCCUCCAACCCCGUAGUCGUACUUUUAGAUGAUCUACUCUGAGAGUGAUUUUGACAUCUCUUUGUUGUCAGAUAAGAAAGCCCUAUGUAGCCUUUAGAAUUUUUCCACGCUGUUUAGUUGUGACCGUGAUGUGAUCGAGUUGGGACCAGUCCUCGUCAGCAACUGACGUCUGUAGUCUCAGCUGUGCACGGGAGAUCUCAUACACCUCGUGUCGGGGAGUGGUGGAUGCCCUAGUGGAAUGGACUGAAGACCACUCCAACCCACGAGCGCGUGAAUUACACCCGGUAUGAGCAAGAUGAGAUUUCUCGUGCACUUGUUAGAAAACACCUGCGCUUGUCUGGUGAUUGUCGGCAGAGGUCUCGUCCCAUCUUAGUUGCAUAAUGUUCGAAAAGGUGUCACGCGCUGUAGCCGACGACAAUUUCUGGCGUUGGCAAAGAGAUCUAUAGCCAGCCAUCCUAGCUGAUAAGAACAAGAUAAUUCUCGAGACGAGGCAUAUCCUGACAGCUAUUGCCCUCCUCCCCAUCAAGAACUAGUGUAUACAUGUGGUCAGUUCUUCCGCAUGACGACGGUCAGCAGAACGCCUACUGGCCCGACUUUUUUUUUGUCACAGUGAGUGGGAACAAUUAAAGCAACUCUGACAGGUGCUUAGUUGGAAGUAAUGAAUCAGACUCUGCCUCCGACGACUACCAAUAUCUUUCUUUUCUUAAAUCUGUGCAAAAUUUGUAUAGGAUUAUUGUGACUGUAAAUAAAAUGUAUAAAUUAU
Long non-coding RNA from Zootermopsis nevadensis, 1369 nucleotides. RefSeq lists it as uncharacterized. The record is from RefSeq and is a predicted model, not a curated record. Lineage: Eukaryota; Metazoa; Arthropoda; Insecta; Blattodea; Termopsidae.